RNAcentral lists this ribosomal RNA (562 nucleotides) under uncultured archaeon. Its description in RNAcentral is "bacterial SSU rRNA". It matches the Rfam family "Archaeal small subunit ribosomal RNA", at positions 325 to 879 of the family's 1478-position model. The record is from RNAcentral.
ACGGGGGUGCAGCAGGCGCGAAAACCUCCCGCAAUGCGAGAAAUUCGCGUACGGGGGAACCCCAAAGUGCCACUUCUUAACGGGGUGGCUUUUCUUAAGUGUAAAAAGCUUUUGGAAUAAGGGCUGGGCAAGACCGGUGCCAGCCGCCGCGGUAACACCGGCAGCUCUAGUGGUAGCCAUUUUUAUUUGGGCCUAAAGCGUUCGUAGCCGGUUUGAUAAGUCUCUGGUGAAAUCCUGUAGCUUAACUGUGGGAAUUGCUGGAGAUACUAUUAGACUUGAGGUCGGGAGAGGUUAGCGGUACUCCCAGGGUAGGGGUGAAAUCCUGUAAUCCUGGGAGGACCACCUGUGGCGAAGGCGGCUAACUGGAACGAACCUGACGGUGAGGGACGAAAGCCAGGGGCGCGAACCGGAUUAGAUACCCGGGUAGUCCUGGCCGUAAACGAUGUGGACUUGGUGUUGGAAUGGCUUUGAGUUGUUCCGGUGCCGAAGGGAAGCUGUUAAGUCCACCGCCUGGGAAGUACGGUCGCAAGAUUGAAACUUAAAGGAAUUGGCGGGGGAGCAC